CUUCGGUACAUCGGUGACAGGUGGUGCAUGGUUGUCGUCAGCUCGUGUCGUGAGAUGUUGGGUUAAGUCCCGCAACGAGCGCAACCCUAUUGUUAGUUGCCAUCAUUCAGUUGGGCACUCUAGCGAGACUGCCGGUAAUAACCGGAGGAAGUGGGGAUGACGUCAAAUCAUCAUGCCCCUUAUGACCUGGGCUACACACGUGCUACAAUGGUUGGUACAACGAGUUGCGAGUCGGUGACGGCGAGCUAAUCUCUUAAAGCCAAUCUCAGUUCGGAUUGUAGGCUGCAACUCGCCUACAUGAAGUCGGAAUCGCUAGUAAUCGCGGAUCAGCACGCCCGCGGUCGAAUACGUUCCGGCCUU
RNAcentral lists this ribosomal RNA (360 nucleotides) under uncultured Streptococcus sp. RNAcentral's name for it is "bacterial SSU rRNA". It matches the Rfam family "Bacterial small subunit ribosomal RNA", at positions 1018 to 1374 of the family's 1533-position model. The record is from RNAcentral. Lineage: Bacteria; Bacillati; Bacillota; Bacilli; Lactobacillales; Streptococcaceae.